Long non-coding RNA from Acinonyx jubatus (cheetah), 1396 nucleotides. RefSeq lists it as uncharacterized. The record is from RefSeq and is a predicted model, not a curated record. The transcript is spliced from 5 exons. NCBI's taxonomy places the organism in Eukaryota, Metazoa, Chordata, Mammalia, Carnivora, Felidae.
CAGCGCUGGCCUCCUGUUGAUGCCUGCUUUCAGAGUAUUGCUAAAUACCUCUGAUUUGGCAAUUCUGUCACCCUUUCUGCACAACCAUUUGAUUCCUGGGGACUCAAAAAAAUGAUCUCCGCUUCUAGGAUUUUCUUCCCAGCCACUGACACCCAUCCUGGGAGUUGUGAUGCUGAAUCUGUCCACCACAACACUGCCUGAGUGAUCGAACACGCAAGCCUGAUAUUGUCAACCCCACUUUAAAUUCUUCUUUGGCUUCUACUGCAUUUUGGGGAAAUGACCCUCACCUCCAGCCCAGCAUACAAGGUUCAUCUCCACCUGGAUGCAUUUAAUAAAAGCAGACCAAAGCUACUGAAGUUCUCACUCUGCAAAGGCAGCAAAAACAAAGAAUACAAUGUUAUUCAAUCAAUGAUGUGGAUCGAUAGAGCCUUAAAUCUGGAGUCUGAAGACCGAGAACAAUAUCUAGGUUUCAAAAGGACACAGAAUGUGUUCCAACUUCCCUCUGAUACAGUUCUAAAUUAAGCGCCGUGGAAGGAAAUUUAGAUGAAACUUCUUGGGUGCUUUUGCAAAAAAGUUACCCACAAGGCUGUAUGCAUGACUGGAAAUGAGGUGGCUUCAGAAAUGCAGCAGGCAUUGGGCAAGGACUGUGAGAAACAGAGAUGAACCAGGGCGCCUAGCCUCAACAGGCUCACAAAAUGGGAUCCUCUUACAAUGGGCCCAAUGUCAUAUUCGCAGUGAGAAAUAACAGGAAAUCAUUGUACGUGAAACCACUGAGAAGGCUUUCCAGGGAGCAUGUGCUUUCAAGGGCGGAUGGAGUGAGGGCACAUGAGGAAACUCUCGCAGCCAGAGGGAACAGAGCAUGCAAAGGGAUUAAGAACUUGUCUGGUACGUUUGGGGAAGAGCCACAGAAUCAGGGGGACUGGAAUCAACCAUGCAGGAAGAGAGUCUGUGGUAACCAAGAUGAGAAAGUUGGCUGAGUCCGGAGCUGAAGGAAGGCCCUCAGGAACCAGGCUCAGUAGGAGAGCCCAGGUGAGCAGGGACCUGUCAACGCUUCCAAAUGGUGAAGGUGGUUUGUUCUGACUGGAGGUUUGGUUUCCAUAACCUGCCACAUACACUGUCUCCAAACAAUUGUACGGCCGUAAAUUUCCAGGGUGGCCCAGUGAAUGGAGUCCAUGAAAUAAACAAUAGGAAAUCUUUGUCAGCUGAUUUGCACAAAUUUACACAAAUACGUUGUUGUGCUUUAGUUGAGUAGAUGCUAGGAAACACGCAGAACAAAAAUAUGAGUUCCUGGGGCAUUUUCUCAUCACGUACAAAAAGAAUCACCUGAAAGCUUAUUUUCAGAGAAACCAAAUGUGGGACCCAGGGCUCUGAAUUUCUGGCUCCUAGAGAAUCAGGA